AGGAUUAACGCUGGCGGCGUGCCUAACACAUGCAAGUCGAACGAGGUAGCAAUACCUAGUGGCAGACGGGUGAGUAACGCGUGGUCAACCUACCGUUGAGUGGGGGAUAACUAACCGAAAGGUUAGCUAAUACCGCAUACGUGUCCGAGGGGCAUCCCUUGGCCAUAAAAGGAGCAAUCCGCUCGAUGACGGGACCGCGUCCCAUUAGCUAGUUGGUGGGGUAACGGCCUACCAAGGCACCGAUGGGUAGCUGGUUUGAGAGAGCGACCAGCCACACUGGGACUGAGAAACGGCCCAGACUCCUACGGGAGGCAGCAGUGAGGAAUUUUCCGCAAUGGGCGAAAGCCUGACGGAGCGACGCCGCGUGUGGGAAGAAGGCCUUCGGGUCGUAAACCACUGUCGAAGGGGACGAUAAUGACGGUACCUUGGAGGAAGCCCCGGCUAACUACGCGCCAGCAGCCGC
This 463-nucleotide ribosomal RNA is filed under the name uncultured bacterium. RNAcentral's name for it is "SSU rRNA". It matches the Rfam family "Bacterial small subunit ribosomal RNA", at positions 26 to 518 of the family's 1533-position model. The record is from RNAcentral.